RNAcentral lists this ribosomal RNA (500 nucleotides) under uncultured bacterium. RNAcentral's name for it is "partial 16S ribosomal RNA". It matches the Rfam family "Bacterial small subunit ribosomal RNA", at positions 30 to 523 of the family's 1533-position model. The record is from RNAcentral.
AUUGAACGCUGGCGGCAUGCCUUACACAUGCAAGUCGAACGGCAGCACGGAGCUUGCUCUGGUGGCGAGAGGCGAACGGGUGAGUAAUAUAACGGAACGUCCCCCAGAGUGGGGGAUAACGUAGCGAAAGUUACGCUAAUACCGCAUACGAACACAGGAUGAAAGCAGGGGUCCUUCGGGCCGUGUGCUCCUGGUGCGGCCGGUAUCUGAUUAGCUAGUGGGUGGGGUAAAGGCCCACCAAGGCAACGAACAGUAGCUGGUCUGAGGGGACAACCAGCCACACUGGAACUGAGACACGGUCCAGACUCCUACGGGAGGCAGCAGUGGGGAAUUUUGGACAAUGGGGGCAACCCUGAUCCAGCAAUGCCGCGUGAGUGAAGAAGGCCUUCGGGUUGUAAAGCUCUUUUGUCAGGGAAGAAAAGGGAUUGGCUAAUAUCUAGUCCUCAUGACGGUACCUGAAGAAUAAGCACCGGCUAACUACGUGCCAGCCGCCGCCGUAA